GACGAACGCUGGCGGCGUGCUUAACACAUGCAAGUCGAACGGAAAGGCCCUGCUUUUGUGGGGUGCUCGAGUGGCGAACGGGUGAGUAACACGUGAGUAACCUGCCCUUGACUUUGGGAUAACUUCAGGAAACUGGGGCUAAUACCGGAUAGGAGCUCCUGCUGCAUGGUGGGGGUUGGAAAGUUUCGGCGGUUGGGGAUGGACUCGCGGCUUAUCCGCUUGUUGGUGGGGUAGUGGCUUACGAAGGCUGUGACGGGUAGCCGGCCUGGGAGGGUGACCGGCGACAUUGGGACUGCGAUACGGCCCAGACUCCUACGUGAGGCAGCAGUGGAGAAUAUUGCGCAAUGGGCUGAAGCCUGAUGCAGCAGCGCCGCGUGCGGGAUGACGGCCUUCGGGUUGUAAACCGCUUUCGCCUGUGACGAAGCGUGAGUGACGGUAAUGGGUAAAGAAGCACCGGCUAACUACGUG
This 468-nucleotide ribosomal RNA is filed under the name uncultured bacterium. RNAcentral describes it as "partial 16S ribosomal RNA". It matches the Rfam family "Bacterial small subunit ribosomal RNA", at positions 28 to 507 of the family's 1533-position model. The record is from RNAcentral.